GGUCGGGUGAGUAACGCGUGAGCAAUCUGCCGAGAAGUGGGGGAUAGCUCGCCGAAAGGGAAUUUAAUACCGCAUGUGGCCAGAGGGGACAUCCUUUCAAAGCCAAAGUCGCAAGACGCUUCAUGAUGAGCUCGCGGCAUAUCAGCUUGUUGGUGAGGUAACGGCUCACCAAGGCUAUGACGGGUAGCUGGUCUGAGAGGACGACCAGCCACACUGGAACUGAGACACGGUCCAGACACCUACGGGUGGCAGCAGUCGAGAAUUUUUCACAAUGGGGGAAACCCUGAUGGAGCGACGCCGCGUGGAGGAUGAAGGUCUUCGGAUUGUGAACUCCUGUCAUGCGAGAACAAGAAAGUGAUAGUAUCGCAAGAGGAAGAGACGGCUAACUCUGUGCCAGCAGCCGCGGUAAUACAGAGGUCUCAAGCGUUGUUCGGAUUCAUUGGGCGUAAAGGGUGCGUAGGCGGCGUGGUAAGUUGAGUGUGAAAUCCUAGGGCUUAACCUUAGAACUGCACUCAAUACUGCCAUGCUAGAGGAAUGUAGAGGAGAGUGGAAUUCACGGUGUAGCAGUGAAAUGCGUAGAUAUCGUGAGGAAGACCAGUUGCGAAGGCGACUCUCUGGGCAUUUCCUGACGCUGAGGCACGAAGGCCAGGGGAGCAAAUGGGAUUAGAUACCCCAGUAGUC
This 681-nucleotide ribosomal RNA is filed under the name uncultured Verrucomicrobiota bacterium. RNAcentral describes it as "bacterial SSU rRNA". It matches the Rfam family "Bacterial small subunit ribosomal RNA", at positions 100 to 795 of the family's 1533-position model. The record is from RNAcentral. Lineage: Bacteria; Pseudomonadati; Verrucomicrobiota.